Molecule: long non-coding RNA, 2252 nt
Filed under: Citrus x clementina
Lineage: Eukaryota; Viridiplantae; Streptophyta; Magnoliopsida; Sapindales; Rutaceae
Description: Citrus clementina (C. clementina) long non-coding RNA (CCLE_LNC004623)
Source: RNAcentral
AUUUUUUAAAACUAUAUAUAGGGUUAUAAUUGUAGAUGAUGGUAAUCAUUUUAAACCAAUGAUAAUAUGCAAUGAUUAUGUGUGUGUGUAUAGAUCAGAGAUAUUGAUAGUUUAGUAAUUGGGCGGUGGGUGAUUAAAAAAUAUAUGGGUCAAUAUAAAUUGUACGCGUUGAGAGAGCAGCUAGGGUCAGAGGAAACCCAAACCGGGAAAGGAAGAUGGUCAAAAAUAUUAAAUUUAAUGACAGAUUCUUGGUGCCUUUCGAUUCUAUUUUGAGCAUAAAUCUCAAUUCGAUGCUGUAAGAGCGGAUCCUAAUAUCAUUAAAUUCUAAAAGAAAUGCUUUGCUUUUGUGCUAUCUCUGCUGUCCCUUGAGAGAGACUUUAUAAAUAAGGAAUAGUUAUAUGACUAUCACUUCACUUUGCAACCGUAUUCUUAAUCGGACGCCCACUUCUUACGUGCACUCGCACUCUACAUACGACAUGCACUCUUCAUUCCAGCUAGUUACCACAUACAAAACUCCAAAUUCUUCAUCAGAAAAUUUUGAUAAUUGAGCUGCACAAAAUGUCUUAAUCAAAAUUGGUUUUAAUUAUAGAAAUUUAAUUAAAUGGCUAGCUAUAUUAAGAGACUCAUUUUCUUUUUCUUUUGAAUUUAAAAAAAAAAAUGAAAACUAAGUGCGACGGUAAUAUAUCAUUGAAGCUAUGCUUACUUUACUAUAAACUGGCAAUGAAGCUAGCUUAUAGUGAUUUUAAAUAUGUCAGGCAUAUUUCUAUUGAGUGUGGGGAAGAAAUGAUAAAUUAAUGAACAAAUUCAUCUAAUAAUUGAUUAUAUAAUAAUAUAAUAAUAAUUAAUCAACCCUUCAAUCGUAGUUUAUGAUUUAUGAACAUUCCCUCGCAAGUCAAGGUCUAUAGAUAGACCAAACUCAGUGACCCUUCUUGUGUUUGAAGGAAUCAAAGAUUAGACCAAUCCAAUUUUGCACGAAUGAGUGGCGAUGCUCGUGGCCACGGUCACCAGUUACACGUUUUCUUGGCUUCUUGCUUUGCUGUCGGCUUUGUGACAGUGAUUGGUUUAUUAUAGCAUCAGCGCAUCAUCAGCAGUAGCAGCAGUCACUAAAAGGCUCCUAAUUAUGGAUGAGGUGGGCCUCACGCUGCCGGAAAUCUUGUCUCACUUUUGCGAGUCGAAUGGGCCAGCGGUGGGCUAUGGUUAAGAAAGUGGCCCGAGCACAACAAGUAGACACGGAACUGUCAGUGUGAUUAAGCUUUGGGCCUGAUCUGGGGCCAGUAUUUGCUAUUAUUUCUACUCACGCCCCCAUUGGGGGACCCCCCUUUUAUAUAUAUAUAUAUAUAUCUGCCCCCGGGAUGCGUAUGGUGGACCAUAAUCCAUGGUCGACAAAAUUGGUACCUAAUUUUACGUAUGCUUGAAAAGAUCCAAUACACCAUUAUAUGCGAUUCGUAUAUAUGCAUUAAUUUUUUUUUUUCUAAAGAAAACUUAAAUUAACUUACUUUAGUAAUGUAAUCAUGUUAUUGACGCCAUGGACCUGGAAUCACUGUCAUCAUUAAAUUAGCACAAGAGACAUGGCUUGAGAUUGAUCUAUUUUGCGUUCAAUCCCAUAUUAGGCGAGAUUAAUGUAAUUGGGACAUUACUUAAAUGAUAAUUUAAUUGUUCAUGUACUUAUGAGAUCAAUUAAAAAAAUUAGAAAUAUGUAAAAUAAUGUAAAAAAAUCAAAAUGAACAGAAAAAUCGAUUAGUUUAGUAUUAUGAGCUGAUCCAUAAGAGUUUAAUUUUUUGAAGCUCUUUAUCAAAAUUUAAUGUCUUUUUCCGAUUUAAGUUGGAUUUUUUCAAUGACCAACAAUGAAACCAAAUCAAUUAGUCCGUUUAAAUUAAUCAAGUCGAUUCAUUUUGAUUUUAUGACUAUCUUUCCUAAUAUUAACUUUCUCAACUUCUACCCUUCCACAACCCCACAUAAAAAGAAAUAAAAAUUAAAAUAUUUUAAGAAGAAUUAUAGAGUCUAACCUUACAUCAAAUCUCACAAUAUUAAAUAGAGUAAUGAUAUAGCCACAAACUCUUGUACAAACUGAUGUGGCAUGAUAAAAUUAGUUGAAUUAAAUAUCUCUUGGCCUACAUGAUUUAUUUAUCUUAUUUUAUAUUUUUAUUUAACUAAUGAAUUAAUGCCACAUCAAUUUGUACAAGAGUUUGUGAUUGUAUUAUCACUAUAUUAAAUAAAGAGUAAUGAUAUAGCCAUAAACUCUUGUACAAACU